This is a long non-coding RNA of Brassica rapa (field mustard), 415 nucleotides long. RefSeq lists it as uncharacterized. Lineage: Eukaryota; Viridiplantae; Streptophyta; Magnoliopsida; Brassicales; Brassicaceae. The record is from RefSeq and is a predicted model, not a curated record.
GAGCAUUUACCGAAAACUCACUAUUUUCGUAGGGGGGUUCACAUAGAUUUUGAAAAAAAAUUCAAAAAAUUUGACAAUACUGUUUUAAUACAUAUUUGAAUUAUGUAAUAACAUAUGAUGAAUUCAAAGAGGUUUGGAACCUUUGUUGUCUCCGUUUCUCUAAGGAAUAACAAUUUUAUAAGGGUUAGUCCAAUGCUUAAGGGAGUAUUUGAAGUUUUGCAAAAUUAAUGGAUAAAAAAUUAGAACGAUGUCCAUGUACCAUGAAUAGGAGUUUAUCAUACAUUAAUAAAAAUGUAUAAUGUGGUUUUAAAUUUUAAAACAAAUUUAAAGAUUAUAGGCUUCAAUAUAUAGAGCAUUUACCGAAAACUCAUUAUUUUCGUAAGGGUUAACAAAUAGAUUUUGAGAAAAAAUCAAA